This 455-nucleotide ribosomal RNA is filed under the name uncultured bacterium. Its description in RNAcentral is "partial 16S ribosomal RNA". It matches the Rfam family "Bacterial small subunit ribosomal RNA", at positions 28 to 523 of the family's 1533-position model. The record is from RNAcentral.
GAUGAACGCUGGCGGUCUGCUUAACACAUGCAAGUCGAACGGAAUCCUUCGGGAUUUAGUGGCGGACGGGUGAGUAACACGUGAGAAUCUGCACUCAGGAUGGGGACAACAGCGGGAAACUGCUGCUAAUACCCAAUGUGCCGAAAGGUAAAAGAUUUAUCGCCUGAGAAUGAGCUCGCGGCCGAUUAGCUAGUUGGUAAGGUAAUGGCUUACCAAGGCGACGAUCAGUAUCUGGUUUGAGAGGACGAUCAGACACACUGGAACUGAGACACGGUCCAGACUCCUACGGGAGGCAGCAGUGGGGAAUUUUCCGCAAUGGGCGAAAGCCUGACGGAGCAAUACCGCGUGAGGGAAGAAAGCCUACUGGGUUGUAAACCUCUUUUUUCAGGGAGGAAAAAAAUGACGUGUACCUGAAGAAUAAGCAUCGGCUAACUCCGUGCCAGCCGCCGCCGUAA